This 1388-nucleotide long non-coding RNA is filed under the name Fukomys damarensis (Damara mole-rat). RNAcentral describes it as "lncRNA (ENSFDAG00000029375.1)". Lineage: Eukaryota; Metazoa; Chordata; Mammalia; Rodentia; Bathyergidae. The record is from RNAcentral.
AUGUUCGGGUGCUGGCCCAGACCCCGCCCAGCUGAAGAUCUGGGAUGCCCCUGGAUGACGGAGUCUGUCUGUGUAGCCCAGAGAUUAGCUUGCCCAAGUCACAUCACUGACAAACCCUGGAGCGGGGCUUUGAAGCCAGACCCUUCGGACUACUCUGAGGAUUUCUUUUUUUGGUACCCGGGAUCGAACUCAGGUCCUUGUGCUUGCAAGGCAGACGGCGGAACCACUCAGCUAAAUCCCCGGCCCUACUCUGAGGGUUUCAAAGGCUCCAAGAGCGGAGCAAGGUGCACACGCAGGCCCCGGCUUCAUCCUUGCACCUCGGGCUCUCGGAUGACUUUGCCUCCGGAAGCCUCAGCCUCCACGCUCUGAAGUGCUCACCACGGUGCGCAGAGACCUCGUCCAACCUCGUGGGCGCUGAGCAGCAGUCGCUAGAGGGCGCUCCAGAGAGAAUGUGCGGCGGGAUCCCAGAACCCACAGGACUGCAGCCUGGGGCACAGGAGUCUGCAGGGACGCGGGGCGUGUGUGUGGGGGGUCUCUCUCGGCCUCCUUCUCUUGGGGAGGACAGCCUGGGGGCCCUGAGUCCGCAGCUUCAGAUUCCUCAUGGCCGCUAUCAGCUGUUCCUGCUCACCCUUCCUGGACUCGGACCCUCUACAGCUCCCUUGUGGUGGCCCUGUGAUCCCAGCAUGCUGCUGGGAGGCUGAGGCAGGAGGACUCCAAGUUUGAGCUACACCUUGGAAACUUAAGUGACUUAGAGAGACCCUGUCUUGGAAUUCUUUGAGCCAGAGAGAACAUCUUAAAGUGCUCCCUCAUUAAUGUGAUAAGUAAACAUUUAAUGAACUUUAUAACUGUGUUUUUUCCAAAAACUUACUACCUAAUGUUAUUUAUUCUGAAAUUUAAAAUAACAGUUUGACACAUUUUUGCAAGAGUCUCUGGGGGAAAAGCAAGAGAAGUAGAACAUGAAUAAUUUUAGGCAACAAAGAACAAGGCCAGGUGGAAAUUCCUAGCCAGCCGUGGUGUGUCCAGAGGUCAGGGCUGAGCUUGGACAAGGGGCAGAGCCCUGAGUGGUGGCACAGAGGGCAGAGAGGAAGACUCGGCACAGAUGGCUGGCAAACCGCUCAGUGCAGUCCCUGCCUGGCAUCACCGUGAUGGCCUCAGUCCACCCCUUCCUUUGGCUACCAGCUGCCUUGCACAGGGACACCAAACAGCUUGAAGGCAUCUGCAGCUCUGCUUCAAACCCUGGACCCUGGAGUUUGGGCUAGGGCCUGUGAGUGCCCCGAAAUAGGAGCCACAGCGGGUGCACUGCAACACAGGAAAGGGUCGGCCAGAGAUGACCACUGCCUGCUGGUCAGGGGAGGAGCAAGGCGAGGGAAGCAUCCUCCACAGAGGCC